GGGGAUGGAACUCAGUUGGUAGAGUGCUUGCCUUGCAUGCACAAGGCCCUGGGUUCAAUCCCCAGCACCACAA
This 73-nucleotide transfer RNA is filed under the name Ictidomys tridecemlineatus (thirteen-lined ground squirrel). RNAcentral's name for it is "Spermophilus tridecemlineatus (thirteen-lined ground squirrel) tRNA". It matches the Rfam family "tRNA". From Rfam's summary of the family: Transfer RNA (tRNA) molecules are approximately 80 nucleotides in length. The record is from Rfam by way of RNAcentral. Lineage: Eukaryota; Metazoa; Chordata; Mammalia; Rodentia; Sciuridae.